ACUGGAUCGACUGGAUCUUCUUUGCCCACCUGUCACUGAAUUUGCAAACUGAUGAGGUAGAUGAUCUUUCUGGCAGUGGCAAUGUCUUCAUCAAAUACCUCAUUGCUCAAUAGGGAAAUCUGAUGCUUAACACAGAAGAAAGAACAAGCUGACACUACAAUG
Molecule: long non-coding RNA, 162 nt
Organism: Lagopus leucura (white-tailed ptarmigan)
Lineage: Eukaryota; Metazoa; Chordata; Aves; Galliformes; Phasianidae
Exons: 4
Source: RefSeq, a predicted model, not a curated record